AUGAACGCUGGCGGCGUGCCUAAUACAUGCAAGUCGAGCGAACAGACGAGGAGCUUGCUCCUCUGACGUUCGCGGCGGACGGGUGAGUAACACGUGGAUAACCUACCUAUAAGACUGGGAUAACUUCGGGAAACCGGAGCUAAUACCGGAUAAUAUAUUGAACCGCAUGGUUCAAUAGUGAAAGACGGUUUUGCUGACACUUAUAGAUGGAUCCGCGCCGCAUUAGCUAGUUGGUAAGGUAACGGCUUACCAAGGCAACGAUGCGUAGCCGACCUGAGAGGGUGAUCGGCCACACUGGAACUGAGACACGGUCCAGACUCCUACGGGAGGCAGCAGUAGGGAAUCUUCCGCAAUGGGCGAAAGCCUGACGGAGCAACGCCGCGUAAGUGAUGAAGGUCUUCGGAUCGUAAAACUCUGUUAUUAGGGAAGAACAAAUGUGUAAGUAACUAUGCACGUCUUGACGGUACCUAAUCAGAAAGCCACGGCUAACUACGUG
This 496-nucleotide ribosomal RNA is filed under the name uncultured bacterium. RNAcentral's name for it is "partial 16S ribosomal RNA". It matches the Rfam family "Bacterial small subunit ribosomal RNA", at positions 29 to 507 of the family's 1533-position model. The record is from RNAcentral.